Mauremys mutica (yellowpond turtle) is the source of this 463-nucleotide long non-coding RNA. RefSeq lists it as uncharacterized. NCBI's taxonomy places the organism in Eukaryota, Metazoa, Chordata, Testudines, Geoemydidae. The transcript is spliced from 3 exons. The record is from RefSeq and is a predicted model, not a curated record.
UAUGAAACUGGAAUUUUGUCCACUAAAUAUAUGGGCCUGAAGCAUUCAGUUUCCAUUAGCCCUGCAGUGUGGAUCCCAUUGAAUAAUAUUCAGCUCCUGUUUAAAAGACACUUGACUUCCUGCAAGAAGCGAGAUUUGAAGAUUCCAGGCUACUUCUCGGUAACAAAGAUCAUUCUAAUAUCAUCCAGGAGGAGGAAUUUCCAAGCCCUCUGAAACUAUAAUCCCUACGAACAAAAGUAGCUGAACUCUAUUUAGCUACACAGUGAACGUGGCUGCUCUGGAAUGCUUCACAUUUCAUCACUGAAAUGAAAUAGUUUGUUAUAGGCCUCUACUCCCAUUGAAAACGAAAAAGUCAACAAAUAUUUUAUUUAAAAACACAUCAACAGAAUGUACAAUAGAGGUGGACCCAGAUGGUGAAGAAAGCAAAGCACGGUACUUGUCAAACAUCAAUAAUUGCAGAGGA